CCUACGGGAGGCAGCAGUGAGGAAUAUUGGUCAAUGGACGAGAGUCUGAACCAGCCAAGUAGCGUGACGGAUGACUGCCCUAUGGGUUGUAAACUUCUUUUAUAUGGGAAUAAAAUGUUCCACGUGUGGGAUUUUGUAUGUACCUUAUGAAUAAGGAUCGGCUAACUCCGUGCCAGCAGCCGCCGUAAUACGGAGGAUCCGAGCGUUAUCCGGAUUUAUUGGGUUUAAAGGAAGCGUAGGUGGGUUGUUAAUGCAGUUGUGAAAGUUUGCGGCUCAACCGUAAAAUUGCAGUUGAAACUGGCAGUCUUGAGUACAGUAGAGGUAGGCGGAAUUCGUGGUGUAGCGGUGAAAUGCUUAGAUAUCACGAAGAACUCCGAGUGCGAAGGCAGUUCACUGGACUGCAACUGACACUGAGGCUCGAAAGUGUGGGUAUCAAACAGGAUUAGAUACCCGAGUAGUC
This 460-nucleotide ribosomal RNA is filed under the name uncultured bacterium. Its description in RNAcentral is "partial 16S ribosomal RNA". It matches the Rfam family "Bacterial small subunit ribosomal RNA", at positions 338 to 795 of the family's 1533-position model. The record is from RNAcentral.